GGUCGCGUGGCCCAAUGGCAAGGCGCUUGACUACGAAUCAAGAGAUUGCAGGUAAGCAUCAGCAAUAUUAGCCUGCCAAACCCCGACACUAAUAAGUUUCAGGUUCGAUCCCUGCCGCGAUCA
Non-coding RNA from Mytilinidion resinicola, 123 nucleotides. The record is from the annotation of a RefSeq genome assembly. Lineage: Eukaryota; Fungi; Ascomycota; Dothideomycetes; Mytilinidiales; Mytilinidiaceae.